CAAACACACAUUCGCUCUCACAACAUGAGGACGGGUCAGCAGAAGGGUGACCCGGGUUCAGAACAGAAACCGCCUGGUGGGUCGUGACCCGCCAAGCUCUGCCGCCACAGACCAAAGUAGAGCUGAGCGAUAAAUCAGUUUUAUCGAUUAACUGCUAUGCUGACAGGAGUACAAGAACAGAGUAACUGUAGGACUGGGGUGUUAAUAUUUUUUAAUUUAAUGUUUUAAGGGUUUGAUGUAUAUGUAAGAGUGCUGUGAAGAGACGGAAAUGACAAAAUCCCCGAGGGAAAAUCUAAAAAGGAUUAAUAAAGUUACUUUGUUUGUUUCUGUCUGUCUGUCUGUCAAUGUCAAUGUCUUUCUUUACAUAUCUAGCUAACUUUAUCAUCUUCCUUUAUCUAUCUAUCUUUAUCUAUCAUUAUCUACGAAUCUUUAUUUAUCUUUAUCUAUAUAUCUAUCUCUGGACGAUACGGCUGAAAAACUAAUCAGAAUAUAAGCGUUUCAGAUCAGUCGAUAUCAAUAAUUGUUGAUUAGUUAUUAUUUUAAAUAUCUGAAAUACCACAAGGUUGUUGGCGUGCCACUUUCCUCCCAUCUAUAAUUUACCCCUCACACCGUUGUUUAUUUUUUACCAGUUAUAAGCCACAGUGGUAAAAUCUUUAACUGUUGCUCUAGAAAGUUGUUGCUAGGUAACCAAAGAGUGAGUGAGUUGCUAGGUAACCAAAGAGUGAAUUAGUUACGUAAUGCUACCCAGCUAGCCUAGCUGGCUGUGAGGUUGUGUGGCUAAAGUUUUUCCUCUGCCUACAUCUCCCAGAAUGCCGUGCGGCUCUGAAUCAGAGUUUGAGCACUUUGUACUGCCUUGUUGCUGAAAAUGUGCUUUAUAACUAAAAUUACCUCUGCCUUUGAAGUAACUAGCUAAAUUUUGACAAUUAUUGAACUUUCAGAAAUGACAGCAGCUACAACGCGCCACACCAAAGAUAAAAUAACGCAGAAAAGGCAAACUACUCAAAACCAAUUGUAUAGUUUUAUUAUAUCUCUCUCUCUUUCUGUCGACUCUACAUACCACAGCACACCCGUUGCCGUGGUAACCGGCAGCCGACAGAACAGAUAUUACGUCUAAAACAUAACAUUCGGUCCGUUAUGAUAAGUUUUCAGGCUUGAUGUUUAUUUUGUGAUUAUUAACAAGAAGUCACCUGAACACAGCCAUUGAUGAUUGAACAUCGGCUCGGCGUGGCGCGCGAUCACGCUCAGCGUGCGCCACGCAUUAGCUUCGCACCCGAAAUCCGUCGACGCAUACAGUCAGUGAUUUGUAAAGGACGUAUGAACUCUUCGUGUGAAUAACAGGUUCUGGUGACCGGCACAUGUACUAACAAACAUCACUGUGAACAGGGAGUACUAUAGAAACACCAGCAGAUGACAUGGCUCCUGAAAUCCCCAUAAGCAAGCCUUCCUCUCUGCUUUUGGGACCGGCAAAAAUAGUGGUGGUGGAUGUGAGGUCCAUUCAGACUCUGUUAUCAGCCUGCCCUGCCGUCCCUCCCACUGCCGCAACCACAGACUGACCACACGCUGCAGCGAGAGUGCGCCCUUUAUACGGCACGCUCACACACAGCCGGAGCAAGUGCAAAUAAUUGCACUGCAAUCCAGAACUCCGUCCAGUAAAACACAUGCACACGGAGACGCAUGAAUCGACGUUAAAAGCAGACACGGAGAGGCACAUUGCAGACGCGCCCAAUUAGGCAAAAAUGGAUCCCAAUAAAGAUGAGCUAAAUAUAAAAGGAAAUAAAGCGCCUCUUGCUGAAUGCAGACACGUUUUGACAAAAAGCUUAGUUUGUCCACGAGAC
Long non-coding RNA from Gambusia affinis (western mosquitofish), 1835 nucleotides. RefSeq lists it as uncharacterized. The record is from RefSeq and is a predicted model, not a curated record. The transcript is spliced from 3 exons. Lineage: Eukaryota; Metazoa; Chordata; Actinopteri; Cyprinodontiformes; Poeciliidae.